ACAACUUUCAGCAAUGGAUCUCUUGGCUCUCGCAUCGAUGAAGAACGCAGCGAAUUGCGAUAAGUAAUGUGAAUUGCAGAUUUUCAGUGAAUCAUCGAAUCUUUGAACGCACCUUGCGCUCCUUGGUAUUCCGAGGAGCAUGCCUGUUUGAGUGUCAUCGAAUUCUCAACCAUGUCUUGAUCGAUUUCGAGGCAUGGCUU
RNAcentral lists this ribosomal RNA (200 nucleotides) under Tylopilus atronicotianus. RNAcentral describes it as "5.8S ribosomal RNA". The stretch from base 3 to 157 matches the Rfam family "5.8S ribosomal RNA". Rfam says of the family: 5.8S ribosomal RNA (5.8S rRNA) is a component of the large subunit of the eukaryotic ribosome. It is transcribed by RNA polymerase I as part of the 45S precursor that also contains 18S and 28S rRNA. Functionally, it is thought that 5.8S rRNA may be involved in ribosome translocation. The record is from RNAcentral. Lineage: Eukaryota; Fungi; Basidiomycota; Agaricomycetes; Boletales; Boletaceae.